This 486-nucleotide ribosomal RNA is filed under the name Streptococcus sobrinus. Its description in RNAcentral is "bacterial SSU rRNA". It matches the Rfam family "Bacterial small subunit ribosomal RNA", at positions 28 to 491 of the family's 1533-position model. Lineage: Bacteria; Bacillati; Bacillota; Bacilli; Lactobacillales; Streptococcaceae. The record is from RNAcentral.
GACGAACGCUGGCGGCGUGCCUAAUACAUGCAAGUGGAACGCAUUGGUAACACCGGACUUGCUCCAGUGUUACUAAUGAGUCGCGAACGGGUGAGUAACGCGUAGGUAACCUGCCUGAUAGCGGGGGAUAACUAUUGGAAACGAUAGCUAAUACCGCAUAAGAGGAGUUAACUCAUGUUAACUGUUUAAAAGAAGCAACGGCUUCACUAUCAGAUGGACCUGCGUUGUAUUAGCUAGUAGGUAGGGUAACGGCCUACCUAGGCACCGAUACAUAGCCGACCUGAGAGGGUGAACGGCCACACUGGGACUGAGACACGGCCCAGACUCCUACGGGAGGCAGCAGUAGGGAAUCUUCGGCAAUGGACGCAAGUCUGACCGAGCAACGCCGCGUGAGUGAAGACGGUUUUCGGAUCGUAAAGCUCUGUUGUAGGGGAAGAACGUGUGUAAGAGUGGAAAGCUACACAGUGACGUACCCUACCAGAAAGG